GGAGAGGUGUCCGAGUGGUUCAUGGUGCCGCUCUCGAAAAGCGGUUCGGGAGAAUAUCUCGACGUGGGUUCGAAUCCCACCCUCUCCG
This 88-nucleotide transfer RNA is filed under the name Dehalococcoidales bacterium. Its description in RNAcentral is "tRNA-Ser". It matches the Rfam family "tRNA". From Rfam's summary of the family: Transfer RNA (tRNA) molecules are approximately 80 nucleotides in length. Lineage: Bacteria; Bacillati; Chloroflexota; Dehalococcoidia; Dehalococcoidales. The record is from RNAcentral.